GACGGCCCCGGGGCGGCUCGUCGACGGCGUGCGGCACCGUCGACGGCUAGCAGCACCGGCUUCCUCCCCCCUCACCGCGUCCCCAGACUGGCCGGUCAGCCUGCGCGGCUGUACCGUGCCCGCCACCCGUCGCCGCCGUGCCCGUCUCGCCAUCGCCCUGCCGCCCCAGUCAGCUCCUCCACGCAGUCACACGCGCGCCGCCCGCCCAGCUCGGCAGCCGCCAGCGGCACGCGCCCUGCGCGGCCAGCCGACCGCCGCGGCACCAGCGAUCCCUCCAAAAGCAGGCAGGCUACCAGGCUCCAGUCCACCGGCCGGCCACACGCCAGCGAUGCCGCCCGGUCGUCGGAGUCCGACGAAGCGAAGCCAGAAGAAGCUGAAGUGAGGGAGCAAAGAGGGCCUUAG
Molecule: long non-coding RNA, 402 nt
Filed under: Oryza sativa Indica Group (long-grained rice)
Lineage: Eukaryota; Viridiplantae; Streptophyta; Magnoliopsida; Poales; Poaceae
Description: lncRNA OsMH63_06G017180
Source: RNAcentral